UCGGAUCGCAGGCUGCAACCCGCCUGCGUGAAGUUGGAAUCGCUAGUAAUCGCGGAUCAGCAUGCCGCGGUGAAUACGUUCCCGGGCCUUGUACACACCGCCCGUCACACCAUGAGAGUCGGGAACACCCGAAGUCCGUAGUCUAACCGCAAGGGGGACGCGGCCGAAGGUGGGUUCGAUAAUUGGGGUGAAGUCGUAACAAGGUAUC
This 208-nucleotide ribosomal RNA is filed under the name uncultured bacterium. RNAcentral describes it as "partial 16S ribosomal RNA". It matches the Rfam family "Bacterial small subunit ribosomal RNA", at positions 1293 to 1500 of the family's 1533-position model. The record is from RNAcentral.